CGCUGUCGCCGGCUGCAGGAGCGCCUGCUGGCCAUGGUGCUGGACGAGGACCGCGAGGUGGGGGUGGAGGUUGUGGGGCUGCUGACCGAGAUGCUGGCGUGAGCUGUGGGGUCGGGGGGGACCUUAUGGGGACACGGGGACAUGGGGACGAUGUGGGGACACUGGGAAAUGGGGACAUUAUGGGGACAUGGGGAAAUGGGGACGUUAUGGGGACAUGGGGACAUUGGGAAAUGGGGACAUUAUGGGGACAUUGGGAAAUGGGGACGUUAUGGGGACACGGGAACAGUGGGAAACGGGGACGUCGUGGGGACACAGGGACGUUAUGGGGACACGGGGACGGUGGGAAAUGGGGACGUCGUGGGGACAUGGGGACAUUAUGGGGACAUUGGGAAAUGGGGACAUCGUGGGGACAUGGGCAUGUUAUGGGGAUAGUGGGAAAUGGGGACAUUGUGGGGACACGGGGACGUUAUGGGGACAUGGGGACAUGGGGACGUUAUGGGGACAUGGGGACAUUAUGGGGUCAUGGGGACAUUGGGAAAGGGGGACAUUAUGGGGACAUGGGGUCGUUAUGGGGACACGGGGACAUUGUGGGGACAUUAUGGGGACAUGGGGACAUGAUGGGGUCACGGGGACAUUGGGAAAGGGGGACAUUAUGGGGACAUGGGGACAUUAUGGGGACUUUAUGGGGACAUGGGGACAUGAUGGGGUCACGGGGACAUUGGGAAAGGGGGACAUUAUGGGGACAUGGGGAAUUUAUGGGGACAUUGGGAAAUGGGGACAUUAUGGGGACACGGGGACAUUACAGGGACGUUAUGGGGACACGGGGACGUGAUGGGGUCAUGGGGACACCGGGAAAUGGGGACAUUAUGGGGACAUGGGGACAUUAUGGGGACAUUAUAGGGACAUUAUGGGGACACGGGGAUGUUAUGGGGACACGGGGACAUGAUGGGGUCACGAGGACACUGGGAAAGGGGGACAUUGGGAAAUGGGGACAUUAUGGGGACAUGGGGACAUUGUGGGGA
This 1022-nucleotide long non-coding RNA is filed under the name Numida meleagris (helmeted guineafowl). Its description in RNAcentral is "lncRNA (ENSNMEG00000000822.1)". Lineage: Eukaryota; Metazoa; Chordata; Aves; Galliformes; Numididae. The record is from RNAcentral.